CUGACAUCGUGAUCCUCCCGCCUCGGCCUCCCAAAGUGCUGGAAUUACAGGCGGGAGCCCCCGCGCCCGGCCGCCACCUAUAACGCUUUCUGUUCGUCACUGAAGAGCCAAGUUUUCACCGCAGUCUGAAGAACUACUGAAAUUUUGAACUAUAACAUGGAUAUCAGUAAAAGAAAUCUUAUACAAGGAUGACAGUGUCCUCUGAAUUAUAUCAUCACAAUGAAGAAUAAAUUCCAGCUAAUAGUCAGUAGCAGGGAGCGACAUCAUGAGGGGAAGCAGUAGCCAGGGAUAAUGGAAUGCUUCUAAUGACCCUUUUAAUACCAUCUUCAUAGACUGGGGCACAAGGGCCAUGUUCUUGCUUUUCUACCCCUUUGCUCAGUGUCUUCUCAUGGAGUUGUAAAAAUAAUAAAAAUCAUUUGAAGAUUAA
Molecule: non-coding RNA, 427 nt
Organism: Macaca mulatta (Rhesus monkey)
Lineage: Eukaryota; Metazoa; Chordata; Mammalia; Primates; Cercopithecidae
Source: RefSeq, a predicted model, not a curated record